CCUACGGGGGGCUGCAGUGGGGAAUAUUGGACAAUGGGGGCAACCCUGAUCCAGCCAUGCCGCGUGUGUGAAGAAGGCCCUCGGGUUGUAAAGCACUUUCAGUGAGGAAGAACGCCUGGUGGUUAAUACCCAUCAGGAAAGACAUCACUCACAGAAGAAGCACCGGCUAACUCCGUGCCAGCAGCCGCGGUAAUACGGAGGGUGCGAGCGUUAAUCGGAAUUACUGGGCGUAAAGCGCGCGUAGGUGGCUUGAUAAGCCGGUUGUGAAAGCCCCGGGCUCAACCUGGGAACGGCAUCCGGAACUGUCCAGCUAGAGGGCAGGAGAGGAAGGUAGAAUUCCCGGUGUAGCGGUGAAAUGCGUAGAGAUCGGGAGGAAUACCAGUGGCGAAGGCGGCCUUCUGGACUGACACUGACACUGAGGUGCGAAAGCGUGGGUAGCAAACAGGAUUAGAUACCCGAGUAGUC
This 465-nucleotide ribosomal RNA is filed under the name Vreelandella stevensii. RNAcentral describes it as "partial 16S ribosomal RNA". It matches the Rfam family "Bacterial small subunit ribosomal RNA", at positions 338 to 795 of the family's 1533-position model. The record is from RNAcentral. Lineage: Bacteria; Pseudomonadati; Pseudomonadota; Gammaproteobacteria; Oceanospirillales; Halomonadaceae.